UGGGGAAUCUUCCGCAAUGGACGAAAGUCUGACGGAGCAACGCCGCGUGAGUGAUGACGGCCUUCGGGUUGUAAAGCUCUGUUAAUCGGGACGAAUGGUUCUUGUGCGAAUAGUGCAAGGAUUUGACGGUACCGGAAUAGAAAGCCACGGCUAACUACGUGCCAGCAGCCGCGGUAAUACGUAGGUGGCAAGCGUUGUCCGGAAUUAUUGGGCGUAAAGCGCGCGCAGGCGGAUUGGUCAGUCUGUCUUAAAAGUUCGGGGCUUAACCCCGUGAUGGGAUGGAAACUGCCGAUCUAGAGUAUCGGAGAGGAAAGUGGAAGUCCUAGUGUGGCGGUGAAAUGCGUAGAUAUUAGGAAGAACACCAGUGGCGAAGGCGACUUUCUGGACGAAAACUGACGCUGAGGCGCGAGAGCCAGGGGAGCGAACGGG
This 429-nucleotide ribosomal RNA is filed under the name bacterium. RNAcentral describes it as "partial 16S ribosomal RNA". It matches the Rfam family "Bacterial small subunit ribosomal RNA", at positions 355 to 776 of the family's 1533-position model. The record is from RNAcentral.